This 465-nucleotide ribosomal RNA is filed under the name Vreelandella stevensii. Its description in RNAcentral is "partial 16S ribosomal RNA". It matches the Rfam family "Bacterial small subunit ribosomal RNA", at positions 338 to 795 of the family's 1533-position model. The record is from RNAcentral. Lineage: Bacteria; Pseudomonadati; Pseudomonadota; Gammaproteobacteria; Oceanospirillales; Halomonadaceae.
CCUACGGGUGGCAGCAGUGGGGAAUAUUUGACAAUGGGGGGAACCCUGAUCCAGCCAUGCCGCGUGUGUGAAGAAGGCCCUCGGGUUGUAAAGCACUUUCAGUGAGGAAGAACGCCUGGUGGUUAAUACCCAUCAGGAAAGACAUCACUCACAGAAGAAGCACCGGCUAACUCCGUGCCAGCAGCCGCGGUAAUACGGAGGGUGCGAGCGUUAAUCGGAAUUACUGGGCGUAAAGCGCGCGUAGGUGGCUUGAUAAGCCGGUUGUGAAAGCCCCGGGCUCAACCUGGGAACGGCAUCCGGAACUGUCAAGCUAGAGUGCAGGAGAGGAAGGUAGAAUUCCCGGUGUAGCGGUGAAAUGCGUAGAGAUCGGGAGGAAUACCAGUGGCGAAGGCGGCCUUCUGGACUGACACUGACACUGAGGUGCGAAAGCGUGGGUAGCAAACAGGAUUAGAUACCCUGGUAGUC